Long non-coding RNA from Cygnus olor (mute swan), 169 nucleotides. RefSeq lists it as uncharacterized. The record is from RefSeq and is a predicted model, not a curated record. The transcript is spliced from 3 exons. NCBI's taxonomy places the organism in Eukaryota, Metazoa, Chordata, Aves, Anseriformes, Anatidae.
UUAACAUGCGCUUGGGACCAUGGCAAUUUUGGGCCUUUUUGGCUAUGAACCAAAAGGGGAUUGCAUUAAGGUCAGGGUAAAACAUAGCAUUAUCAAUCCAAACUGCUGAUUUGUGAUUCUCCAGCUGUCCACAUGCAGUUCACUCAGGAUUCCUGCUAAACCAGAGCAG